CAGUUAGUUGGUGGGGUAAUGGCCUACCAAGACUGCGAUCGAUAGCUGGUCUGAGAGGAUGAUCAGCCACACUGGGAUUGAGAACGGCCCAGACUCCUACGGGGGGCAGCAGUGAGGAAUUUUCGUCAAUGGGGGCAACCCUGAACGAGCAACGCCGCGUGCAGGAAGAAGGUUUUCGGAUCGUAAACUGCUUUUCUCUGGGACGAGAACGGACGGUACCAGAGGAAUCAGCCUCGGCUAACUACGUGCCAGCAGCCGCGGUAAUACGUAGGAGGCGAGCGUUGUCCGGAGUUACUGGGCGUAAAGCGCACGCAGGCGGUCAGAUCAGUCUGGAGUGACAGUCGUCGGCUUAACCGACAAAGUGUUCUGGAAACUGUCUGACUUGAGGGCUUCAGAGGGACACGGAAUUCCGGGUGGAGUGGUGAAAUGCGUAGAUAUCCGGAGGAACACCAAUGGCGAAGGCAGUGUCCUGGGAAGUACCUGACGCUCAGGUGCGAAAGCUAGGGGAGCGAACAGGAUUAGAUACCCUGGUAGUCCUAGCCGUAAACGAUGACCACUAGACGUUGGGGGUAUCGACCCCUUCAGUGUCGCAGUUAACACGAUAAGUGGUCCGCCUGGGGA
RNAcentral lists this ribosomal RNA (621 nucleotides) under uncultured bacterium. RNAcentral's name for it is "SSU rRNA". It matches the Rfam family "Bacterial small subunit ribosomal RNA", at positions 242 to 879 of the family's 1533-position model. The record is from RNAcentral.